Molecule: long non-coding RNA, 810 nt
Filed under: Helianthus annuus (common sunflower)
Lineage: Eukaryota; Viridiplantae; Streptophyta; Magnoliopsida; Asterales; Asteraceae
Description: hypothetical non coding rna
Source: RNAcentral
AUGACUUUUAUAAUAUAUAUAAAUGUCUCCAUCUUUGGUUUGCAUUUACAAAAAAUAUUUAUUAUAUAGUUUAAAUUGUUCAACCCGUGUAACACACGGGGAACUAACCUAGUAUUAGCAUAUACAAUAGUCAAUGUAUUAGGUGGCAAGGUUGUACGGUCUUGAAAGUCAAUCAGUGGGAUAGUAAAAGUCAAACAAUUUUGCAACGUGUUUGAAGAAAACAAUAUGUCAUUGUAGUUAUAUGUUAAUAAAUUGAAGAUAACAUAUUUAUAUUUUUAAUUAAAUUUACAUUGUAAUAUUAACAGUCAAGGUGUUGACAAAUUUCUAUUUUUAUGGUUUAAAUACAUGAAUAAGUUUAGUGUAAUUAGAAAAACGAAUGGUAUAAUCUAUUUAUUUAAACAACUCAAAUGAGUUGUCGUGUUGUAAAAGAGUUAUCCAUGUCAUAAAACGUGUUAGUAUGUUGUAAUAAAAGAUUUAAACAAGGCGUAAACGGAUUGACAUUAUAAAAUAUAUUUUUAGUUUAAUAUUUAAAUAGACACAUAUCUACGUUUUUAAUUAAAGCAAAUUAACACCAACACAACCUGUUUAUAUAAGGAGUUAGACAAUACGAUCUAAAAUCUAAUUAUUUCCUUGUUUUUGGACCAUAUUAAAAAUUACCAUUCAUAAUUUAGAUCGGUGAAUUCACAUCACCAUAGGUAUUAACACCUAUAUAGUAAAAGUAUUACCAUACACAAUUUUAACUAGUUUAAUACCCGUCCGAUGGACGGGUUACGUUAAUGUAUUACAUUGUUACAGCAUGAAUGAAGCUAU